RNAcentral lists this ribosomal RNA (536 nucleotides) under uncultured delta proteobacterium. RNAcentral describes it as "bacterial SSU rRNA". It matches the Rfam family "Bacterial small subunit ribosomal RNA", at positions 1 to 523 of the family's 1533-position model. Lineage: Bacteria; Deltaproteobacteria. The record is from RNAcentral.
GACUAGAGUUUGAUCCUGGCUCAGAACGAACGUUGGCGGCGCGCCUAACACAUGCAAGUCGCACGAGAAAGGAGCAAUCCCCGGUACAGUGGCGCACGGGUGAGUAACACGUGGAUAAUCUUCCCUUGAGCGGGGGAUAACCUUCCGAAAGAGGGCUAAUACCGCAUGAGACCACGGCAACCCCGGUUGCUGAGGUCAAAGCUGGCCUCUUCACGAAAGCUAGCACUCAAGGAUGAGUCCGCGGCCCAUCAGCUAGUUGGUAGGGUAAUGGCCUACCAAGGCGAAGACGGGUAGCUGGUCUGAGAGGAUGAUCAGCCACACUGGAACUGAGACACGGUCCAGACUCCUACGGGAGGCAGCAGUGGGGAAUCUUGCGCAAUGACGAAAGUCUGACGCAGCGACGCCGCGUGGGUGAUGAAGGCCUUCGGGUUGUAAAGCCCUGUGGGGAGGGACGAAUAAGUCGUGGCUAAUAUCCACGAUGAUGACGGUACCUCCUUAGCAAGCACCGGCUAACUCUGUGCCAGCAGCCGCGGUAA